RNAcentral lists this long non-coding RNA (277 nucleotides) under Helianthus annuus (common sunflower). RNAcentral's name for it is "sRNA HanXRQr2_Chr15g0707071". The record is from RNAcentral. Lineage: Eukaryota; Viridiplantae; Streptophyta; Magnoliopsida; Asterales; Asteraceae.
GUUGAAAUAAAAAAAAUACUUAUGGAUAGAGGGGCAGGAUUUAGUCUCAUUCAUCUUUUCAUUAUUGUUCUUAUCACCUUUUGAUUAUUGUUCUUACGCUUUCUUCAACAAUUCGAACGGUUGUUGCAUCAUGAGCAUCUUACCUAUAUCAUCGGUGCCAUUGUCAUAGGAUGCACAAAACACCAUCAUCAUUAAAGACUUUGAGGUUGAUAGUCGCAGUGAAUCAAGAAUCAAGCUAGGGUGACCUUACAUACACACCUUAGAUAAAAACAAUAUU